RNAcentral lists this ribosomal RNA (216 nucleotides) under Glomeromycotina sp. Its description in RNAcentral is "partial small subunit ribosomal RNA". The stretch from base 92 to 216 matches the Rfam family "Eukaryotic small subunit ribosomal RNA", at positions 738 to 864 of the family's 1831-position model. Lineage: Eukaryota; Fungi; Glomeromycota. The record is from RNAcentral.
GGGUCAGUAGGUUGGUCGUGCCACCGGUACGUACUGGUCUCACUGAUUCCUCCUUCCUGAAGAACCGUAACGCCAUUAAUUUAGUGUCGCGGGGAAACAGGACUGUUACUUUGAAAAAAUUAGAGUGUUUAAAGCAAGCUAACGCUUGAAUACAUUAGCAUGGAAUAAUGAAAUAGGACGAUCGAUCCUAUUUUGUUGGUUUCUAGGAUUGACGUA